This 397-nucleotide ribosomal RNA is filed under the name uncultured bacterium. Its description in RNAcentral is "partial 16S ribosomal RNA". It matches the Rfam family "Bacterial small subunit ribosomal RNA", at positions 523 to 918 of the family's 1533-position model. The record is from RNAcentral.
AUACGUAGGGGGCGAGCGUUGUCCGGAAUGAUUGGGCGUAAAGGGCGCGUAGGCGGCCUGUUAAGUCUGGAGUGAAAGUCCUGUUUUCAAGAUGGGAAUUGCUUUGGAUACUGAUGGGCUUGAGUGCAGGAGAGGUUAUCGGAAUUCCCGGUGUAGCGGUGAAAUGCGUAGAGAUCGGGAGGAACACCAGUGGCGAAGGCGGGUAACUGGAAUGCAACUGACGCUGAGGCGCGAAAGUGUAGGGAGCAAACAGGAUUAGAUACCCUGGUAGUCCACACUGUAAACGAUGAAUGCUAGGUGUAAGAGGUAUCGACCCCUUUUGUGCCGGAGUUAACACAAUAAGCAUUCCGCCUGGGGAGUACGGCCGCAAGGUUGAAACUCAAAGGAAUUGACGGGG